RNAcentral lists this unclassified non-coding RNA (287 nucleotides) under Hevea brasiliensis (rubber tree). The record is from RNAcentral. Lineage: Eukaryota; Viridiplantae; Streptophyta; Magnoliopsida; Malpighiales; Euphorbiaceae.
GCAAAUCAUAAAACAUGAACUAUGUAAAUUCAAGACAGGCUGUUGCAUGAUGUGUAAGAAACACCAAAAGGCAAAGUAAAAGAAAGGAGAAUUUUUUUGAACAAAUUAGUGACACCAUGAGAUUAUUUCCAUAAAUCAAUUAUAUAAAUUGAUAUAUACAAUAAGAACAAGUGUGUAACUAAUUUAUGUACUAGUUAAGAAUUGAGAACAAAUAACCUACAGCAGUUUAUCUUGAAAACAUAUGUUUCAAAUUAAUUUGUGCAAUAUUACUGGAAACUUGACUAUCU